AGACCUAUGAGCUACCUAGAGGCAGGGAACUGUGCUUUUUUCCUCCUUUUAGUGAAUGAGUUCUGUAGUGGCUAUGAUUGUGCUUCAAUUACAGAUAGGGGCCACGUAUCUCUACCACCUAGCACAGAAUGGGCACUCAGAAAAUGGCAAUUGCAUGAGUGAAUUAAUUAAUUACUCUUACCUGGAAUGGUGACUUGUGCGACCUUUGCCAAGUCAUUCGCCAUCUGGAUUUCUUAGUUCUGCCCCAACUAGUGCUCCAAUAACAGGAAUCCCUUCAGGGGCCAGUUCUCUUCACAGCCAGAUCUGGCCAUGGCACUAAUGUUUGCCAUUCUCCAGGGAGAGGCCCCAGAACUUCACUGGAUGCUGUCCACUGGAUGACUGAGAAGAAGCAGGAGAAAAACAAGUCAAAGGAGGAGUGUCAGCUUGUCUCAGCAUUUCUUCAUCUGCUUUCCAUCUUUCUUGCUUCCCUAACACACACACACACACACACGCACACACGCACACACGCACACCCAUCUGCUUUCUUCCAUGCAGAAACACACAUGCACCUUCCAAGUAUGACUUUAAGUUCUGGAAUCCAAAGUCUUCUCUUAUCUGAAAUUCAUGGUGCACUUGCCCCUUUGGCAGAGCCUGCAAAGAGCUCAAGUGGGUGUUUUUAUAGUCAGCACACACACAAACUUGCCACACCACCAAUAAAGUUUUCCUUAUUGUUGUAACUGUUGGCAAAGGCAAAAGUCUGGGGAGAUUGACUGCCUGCACAGCUUCAUUAUACUGCAAGAAUAUUUUUGAUAAAAUUUCAACAGCUCCUGACUGACUGUCAACUUCACUGUGUGGCUUUUUAAAGUGAUCCCCCCACCCCUCCCUAAUUGGUCCUCAAACUCACAAAAACAUUCAGGUCAGUUGUUGAAUAUCUGAAUCUUUCCAAGUAAUUAGCAGGUAGAAUUACCAGGUAGCAGGCGUGUUUGCUUUUAUCUGUCAAUAGGGUCUGCAGUAAGGGGUAGUUGUCAUCUUGAGAGGCCUUGCAACCAUGUCUAAUUUAAAGUGUCAAUAGAGAGUUUAUUUCUGUCUUUUGUUCUCACUUCCAGGUUCUGAGUUCUCCCUUUAGAAUUGAGGCUCAAAGUAAGACAGAUAUUUGGAACAUGUGAAUUUCAAGGAAAAAUUUUCCCCAGAAACCGAAAAUAUGUAAAAACAUUUAGGCUCAUCCCUCUAUCCGCAUGACUUGGCUAGGUUAUAUCAACUUACAUAGUCAAGCCAGAUACACAGUAUCUGAUAAAUGCAGAAAAGGACAUUCAGUCUUUACCAAGCAGAAAAGUUACAUUUUGACAACUGUGAUGGGGGCAGGGCGCCGGGGCAGGGCGCCGUUUGGAUGGGGGUCUUUUAAUGCUCGCUGACACUUGCCUACUAGUUAUCAGUGGCUGCUACCACUGUUAGGCUUUUUGUUUUUAACUUCAAUCCGUUCUCUCUUCCUUACUGUUUAAACAGCUUUC
Molecule: long non-coding RNA, 1487 nt
Filed under: Lynx pardinus (Iberian lynx)
Lineage: Eukaryota; Metazoa; Chordata; Mammalia; Carnivora; Felidae
Source: RNAcentral